GGUCCUGGCAUGGAGGAGGGGCGGGGCAGAACUGGGUCCGAGCGUCAGAAGGAGGAAGUGUGCUGCCUCAGUGGGAACAGCGGAUGACUCGGGGCAGAAGUCGGGAACCGGGUUCAGAUGAAGAUGCAGGUGCUAGCACGGGGCUAUCGGGGAGGAGAAGAAUGGCCUGCGGGCGCCGGGGUGUGGGACAGGCUGAGGAAAACCGGCGAAGGCCCCUCCUGGCCUCACCGGACCCUGCGACCGGGCCUGAGGAGGUGAUGGGCGCGCAGGGGGGCGUCACGCGCUUGCAGACGACGGAGAUACGCGGCGGAUAGGGGGGAAGAUGGAAGGCAAGCUCACCUUCUUCACAGCUGGCUGGAAGUGAAAGUCACCGGCCUCCUUCAGGUCCAGCCAGAUCAUGGGCAUGCGGGGCACGGCCUCCAUGGCGGCUGGCACCCGCCGGCCACCCGGCCACUCCCGUAGCUGCUGCAGCUGCUGGCUCAGCCACGAGCCCAGCCCCGCCCCUUCGUGCCGGAAGUCACUGGUCACGGGAGGGAAUGAAAAAUGCCAGCGGCCUGCCGGGAGUUGCAGUGAACCCAGCCACCCGCUCGCGUAGUCUUUUGCGCAGGCGCUGUCCCUGUUGCGCAUGCUCAGUCUUCUUCGCGCGGAGGGAGUAGGGCGGGGAGGAGCUCGCCAGCCCGAGGCGAAACGGCUUCUGGGAUAGUAGUCUUCAUCCACUAAACUGAGAGGCGCGGAGCGAGCUUAUUCCCCGCUCCCGGGCCAAGCCCAGCUGCGGGUCCCGCCCGCCGCGCUCCUCCCUCCUAGGAAGAGCAUGAGACCUCACCUAUGAACUUGCCCUCCCACGUAUUGUCAAGAGCCGUGGAGGACUGGUGCUGUGGUAGAGAUGACGUGGCGGGCGGGCCGCUGGAAAGAGAUGACGCGAAAACGGGCCUUAGAGAGGGUGCGGAGGGAGCACCUGGCCUGAAGGAGUCGGGGCUGAGAGCUGGGGGUUUCAGUCCCAGUGCUGCGAAGGCUUUCGAGCUUUGGAACAGAAUCACUGACCGGAGACUGGCCUACUCAGCCCAGCCUGGGAGGCCGGGCAGUGCCCAAGGGAGACGGACGAUAGGGAGGGAGCGCCUGGAUGGAGGGUCUCAAGCGGAGUGAGGAGGCCCCGGGCCCUGUGGGGAAGUGGGUGGGGGAAGGUAUACGGCCAGGUGAGCACCCAGGGACGCCCACAGUAUCUGGAAGGAGACCACGGAAUGGAGAGCACCUGUUGCCUCUGGAGAGGGGACCUAUAGAGCAGGAAUUGUUAAAUCAUAUGGCUGUAUCACCUACUUUUAGAAAUAAAUAAUAGGCUACUCGGGAGGCUGAGGCUGGAGGUUCAAUCGCUUGACCUGGGAGGCGGAGAUUGCGGUGAGCCUAGAUCUUGCCACUGCUCUCCAGCCUGAGCGACAGAGCGAGACUCCGUCUCAAAAUAAUAAUAGUAACAAUAGAAAUAACAGAGAAUGGCCUGGAGAUAGUGAGUGCAAAAGUGCGAGCUGGGAGAUCAGUGAGCCUUUUGUAGUCUUCCAGGAGACAGGUGAUUGUGGCUUGGAGCAGAGGGAAGUAAAAAGUGAGCAAAGAAAUAUUUUGCCCACUUUGAGAAAUAUUUGAGGAAUAUUUUGGAGACAAAAGUAUCAGAACUUGGAAUGGAUGGAUGUAAGGGCAUGAGGACGUCGAAUAUGAUUUCCAAGCUUCUGGCUUGUGCAGGUGGGUGGCUGUGGGGCUGUUUACUGAUAAGGGAAAACAAGGGAAGAGCAAAGGUUCAGGUCCGUGUUAAGCUCGAGGUCAAGGCCUUUGACUCGUUCUGGAUGAAAUGUGGAGACCACGAUGCCGGGUGCGGUGGUUCACGCUUGUAAUCCCAUCACUUUGGGAGGCCGAGGCGGGCGGAUCGCUUAAGCCCGGGAGUUCAAGACCAGCCUAGCCCACAUGGCCAAACCCCGUCCCUACAAAAAAUAUAAAAAUUAGCAGGACAUGGUGGCUCAUGUACGCCUGUAGUCCCAGCUACUCAGGAGGCUGAGGCGGGAGGAACCUUGAGCCCGGGAGGCAGAGGUUGCAGUGAGCCGUGAUUGUGCCAUUGUACUCCAGCCUGGGCGACAAAAGUGAAACCAUGUGUUAAAAAAAAAAAAAAGAAAAGAAAAAGAAAAAUUAUGGAGACCGUGGGAUGUGGGUGGGAUCUGGGAUUCUAAGACAGGCUUCACCCACAAGGUAGAGCCCAGGUCCCUUUGUUGUGAGACCUCAAACCCUUUCAAGACUUAGUCAAGGGCCUAGCUUCAUUCCAGUUGGAGUUAGAGCAGAAGAAAAUGAAAUUACAUGAAUGUUCAUAGCAGUACCAUUUCACAGUAGCCAAAAGAGAAGCAAUCCAUGCAGUGAUGGAUGGAUGCAUGAAUAAAGAUGAUGUGUGUACAUACAA
Homo sapiens (human) is the source of this 2431-nucleotide long non-coding RNA. Ensembl annotates it as PTPN23 divergent transcript. Its record names the gene PTPN23-DT. Lineage: Eukaryota; Metazoa; Chordata; Mammalia; Primates; Hominidae. The record is from Ensembl.